Molecule: ribosomal RNA, 403 nt
Filed under: uncultured bacterium
Lineage: Bacteria
Description: partial 16S ribosomal RNA
Rfam family: Bacterial small subunit ribosomal RNA
Source: RNAcentral
GACGAACGCUGGCGGCGUGCCUAAUACAUGCAAGUCGAACGCAGUGGGGACGGGUGCGUAACACGUGGGUAACCUCCCAUCAGAGGGGAUAACACUUGGAAACAGGUGCUAAACCGAUACUGAUGGAUGGACCCGCGGUGCAUUAGCUAGUUGGUGGGGUAACGGCUCCCCAAGGCCACGAUGCAUAGCCGACCUGAGAGGGGGAUCAGCCACCCUGGGACUGAGACACGGCCCAGACUCCUACGGGAGGCAGCAGUGGGGAAUAUUGCACAAGGGGCGCAAGCCUGAUGCAGCCAUGCCGCGUGUGUGAAGAAGGCCUUCGGGUUGUAAAGCACUUUCAGCGGGGAGGCGUUACCCGCAGAAGAAGCACCGGCUAACUCCGUGCCAGCCGCCGCGGUAAUAC